AUUGAACGCUGGCGGCAUGCUUUACACAUGCAAGUCGAACGGACACACGGGCUUCGGCCUGCCGGGGCGUGACCAACGGGUGGGUAAUAAACCGGAAGGUGCCCUGCCGUGGGGAAUGGGUUAGCUACAGGAGACUUAAUCCCGUACCCGACAAUAGGUUGAACCGGGGGGAUCUUCGGACCACGCCGUUUUUGCUGGGACUUUGGCAGGUUAGCUAGUUGGUGGGGUAAAGGCGUACCAAGGCGACGAUCUGUAGCUGGUCUGAGAGGACGACCCGCCACACUGGGACUGAGACACGGCCCAGACUCCUACGGGAGGCAGCAGUGGGGAAUUUUGGGCAAUGGGCGAAAGCCUGAUCCAGCAAUGCCGCGUGUGUGAUGAAGGCCUUCGGAUUGUAAAGCACUUUUGGCGGGAACGAAAAGGACUGUGCCAAUACAACGGUUCGAUGACGGUACCCGCAGAAUAAGCACCGGCUAACUACGUG
RNAcentral lists this ribosomal RNA (484 nucleotides) under uncultured bacterium. RNAcentral describes it as "partial 16S ribosomal RNA". It matches the Rfam family "Bacterial small subunit ribosomal RNA", at positions 30 to 507 of the family's 1533-position model. The record is from RNAcentral.